AGCGAACGCUGGCGGCGGGCUUAACACAUGCAAGUCGAGCGGGCCCUUCGGGGUCAGCGGCGGGCGGGUGAGUAACGCGUGGGAACGUGCCUUCUGGUUCGGAAUAACCCUGGGAAACUAGGGCUAAUACCGGAUACGCCCUUAUGGGGAAAGGUUUACUGCCGGAAGAUCGGCCCGCGUCUGAUUAGCUAGUUGGUGGGGUAAUGGCCUACCAAGGCGACGAUCAGUAGCUGGUCUGAGAGGAUGAUCAGCCACACUGGGACUGAGACACGGCCCAGACUCCUACGGGAGGCAGCAGUGGGGAAUAUUGGACAAUGGGCGCAAGCCUGAUCCAGCCAUGCCGCGUGAGUGAUGAGGGCCUUAGGGUUGUAAAGCUCUUUUAUCCGGGACGAUAAUGACGGUACCGGAGGAAUAAGCCCCGGCUAACUUCGUGCCAGCCGCCGCGGUAA
This 449-nucleotide ribosomal RNA is filed under the name uncultured bacterium. Its description in RNAcentral is "partial 16S ribosomal RNA". It matches the Rfam family "Bacterial small subunit ribosomal RNA", at positions 28 to 523 of the family's 1533-position model. The record is from RNAcentral.